RNAcentral lists this long non-coding RNA (518 nucleotides) under Chinchilla lanigera (long-tailed chinchilla). RNAcentral describes it as "lncRNA (ENSCLAG00000026776.1)". The record is from RNAcentral. Lineage: Eukaryota; Metazoa; Chordata; Mammalia; Rodentia; Chinchillidae.
CUCCCUGCUCCCAAGAAGAGCUCUCAAGGCUCAGUUGGCCGAGAGCAGCACUGUGACUCAGAUGAUGGCAAACCCCUGGUCCUCCUGGCUGGGCCCCAGCUCCAGUAUCUUUUUGGUGGAUAUGAUCCUGGGCUUUGUGUAUGAACUGGGGCUCUUCCUUCUGUUACUGCCCUACCUCCCAGGUGAACAAUCCUUACCACCAUCAAGGAAAGAAAAACAUCGGAAAGAUCUACAGAAAUCAGCCAAGAGGAGGACAGGAGAUAGCUGUGUUGGUGGGAAAUCUAAAGAGCAUGGUGUGAAGCUGCAUUGAGCAAAGCUACUUGUGGAUGGAAUAUGUACAGAGCACCCCACAGUUAAUGUGUUUGUAUGCAUAACAGUGAAUUGAUAUUGACAUUUUCAACGUGAGCUUAAGAUAGUUUUAAUCAUUAGUCUAGUAUCUACUGAUAGACUUUUGGUCAAAUAACUGAUCUGUAUAAACCAAAGUCCUUCCAUUUUCUUAGAGUGAUGGAAGGCUUGUA